AUGGGGUUUCACCAUGGUGGCCAGGAUGGUCUCGAUCUCUUGACCUCAUGAUCCGCCUGCCUCGCCCUCCCAAAGUGCUGGGAUUAAAGGCAUGAACCACUGCGCCCAACCUAAUACACAAUGUAAUUUAUAAGAUAGACCGAUACCAACAACUAAUAAAUAAUAGAACAGUUAUAACAACAUUCUGUAACAAAAGUUAUGUGAAUGUGGUCUCUCUUCAUCUCUCAAAAUAUGAUAUUGUACUCAUCUAUUUUCAGACCGCAGCUGACCAUGGGUAACUGAAACCAUGGAAAGCUAAAUUUCAGAUAAGGGAGAACGGUACAGACAUUUUUUUCUUUUUUUCUUUUUUUUUUUUUGAGACCGAGUCUGCCUCUGUCGCCCAGGCUGGAGUGCAGUGGCCGGAUCUCAGCUCACUGCAAGCUCCGCCUCCCGGGUUUACGCCAUUCUCCUGCCUCGGCCUCCUGAGUAGCUGGGACUACAGGCGCUGGCCACCUUGCCUGGCUAGUUUUUUUGUAUUUUGUAGCAGAGAUGGGGUUUCACCGUGUUAGCCAGAAUGGUCUCGAUCUCCCGACCUUGUGAUCCGCCCAUCCCGGCCUCCCAAAGUGCUGGGAUUACAGGCUUGAGCCACCGCGCCCGGCACAUUUUUUUCUUGACCUCAUCUAGGCAGCCUCAGUUUUGUUUUGUUUUGUUUGUUUUUUGAGAUGGAGUCUCCCUCUGUCCCCCAGGAUGGAGUGCAGUGGCCUGAUCUUGGCCUACUGUAACCUCCACCUCCUGGGUUCAGGUGAUUCUCCUGCCUUGGCCUCCUGAGCAUCUGGGAUUACAGGAAGUUUAUUUCGAUCUUUAUCCAGAUUGCUGGUUUUGCAAUGCCUCUUUGCACAAGACUUUCUCAGACUCACUUUGUUGUGUUCCCUCUUGAAUGAGACACUGUUCACUACUCUAGUAGUGGACUAGAAACAUCCCUGUUCACCACUCUAGUAGUGGAAAAACCCUAGUCCUGGAAACCCAAGACGCCUGAAUUGGUUCUUCCCACCCACCCCCCCCAAAAGAGGGAGACACUUUUAGCUUGUAUUUUGGUUUACGGGUUAAAAGUUUUACAUUAGGAUCAGAAUGAUUGCAUCUGGUUUGAAGACUGAAAUUUUAUUUUUAGACAGGGUCUUGCUCUGUCACCCAGGCUGGAGUGCAGUCGUGUGAUCACAGCUCACUGCAGCCUUGACCUCCUGGACUCAAGCAAUCCUCUCUCAGCCUCCCAGAGUGCUGGGAUUACAGGUGUGAGCCAUGCACCUGGGCCUAAGAGUUGAAUUUAUAAAACCUACUUAAAAUUACUGUCUUUAUAAAACCGUAAGAAAUUAGAACCAGAAGUUGCCUUAAAGAUCUAGUCUAAUCAGUCUAAUCUCAUUUUGUAGGAAGAUUUGCUUGUAAUACCUGUAGGAGAUGGCAAAGUAGAACGUGUAACCCUGGCCACGGUGGCUCAUGCCUGUGAUCCCAGCACUUUGGGAGGCUAAGGCAGGUGGAUUGCUUGAGCCCAGGAGUUUGAGACCAGCCUGGACAACAUGGCAAAACCCCAUCUCUAAAAAAAAAAAAAA
Molecule: long non-coding RNA, 1583 nt
Organism: Macaca fascicularis (crab-eating macaque)
Lineage: Eukaryota; Metazoa; Chordata; Mammalia; Primates; Cercopithecidae
Source: Ensembl